ACUAGAGUAGCACUCGCAUAUCAAUAAGCGGAGGAAAAGAAACUAACAAGGAUUCCCUUAGUAACGGCGAGUGAAGCGGGAAGAGCUCAAAUUUGAAAUCUUCAAGGUUCUACCUUGACGAAUUGUAGUUUAAAGAAGUGUUUUCUGUUAGAUGAGUAGCAAAAGUUCCUUGGAAUGGGACAUCUUAGAGGGUGAGAAUCCCGUAUUUGGUUAUUAUUCUAGCUUUGUGAUACACUUUCAAAGAGUCGGAUUGUUUGGGAAUGCAGUCCAAAAUGGGUGGUAAAUUUCAUCUAAAGCUAAAUAUUGGCGAGAGACCGAUAGCGAACAAGUACCGUGAGGGAAAGAUGAAAAGAACUUUGAAAAGAGAGUUAAACAGUACGUGAAAUUGUCAAAAAGGGAAGCGUUUGACACCAGUGUUGUUUUUUCUGAAAAUCAAUUAAAGAACUGUUUAUGCUAAGUUGUUUAGACUUUAUCAGCUAACUGUUUAGUUUUGAGCUUUUCUUUAAUGCACUUUUCAGUUAACAAGUCAACAUCAAUUUCUUUUGCUGUAAAAAAGCUUGAGGAAGGUGGCUUGAGAUUCGUCUUAAGUGUUUAUAGCCUCUUGCCUAUGCAGUCGGAGAGAUUGAGGUCUGCAGCGUAGAUCCUUCGGGGCUAAAUGCAUUUGUGCUAAGUUAUAGCACUUUAUAGACAACUUGUUGACUAUGAUUUGUCUUGUAGCUUACUCGCUUAUGUUAUUUUACCUACGCUUAGGAUGUUGAUAUCGCGCUCUCACUG
This 774-nucleotide ribosomal RNA is filed under the name uncultured Neocallimastigales. RNAcentral's name for it is "partial large subunit ribosomal RNA". It matches the Rfam family "Eukaryotic large subunit ribosomal RNA", at positions 20 to 645 of the family's 3401-position model. Lineage: Eukaryota; Fungi; Neocallimastigomycota; Neocallimastigomycetes; Neocallimastigales. The record is from RNAcentral.